GACGAACGCUGGCGGCGUGCUUAACACAUGCAAGUCGAACGGAAAGGCCCUGCGCUUGCGGGGUGCACGAGUGGCGAACGCGUGAGUAACACGCGAGUAACCUGCCCUUGACUUUGGGAUAAAUCCAGGAAACAGGGGCUAAUACAGGAUAGGAGCUCCUGCUGCAUGGUGGGGGUUGGAAAGUUUCGGCUGUUGGGGAUGGUAUCGCGGCUUAUCAGCUUGUUUGUGGGGUAGUGGCUUACAAAGGCUUUGACGGGUAGCAGGCCUUGGAGCGUGACCGGCCACAAGAGGCCUGAGAGACGGCGCAGACUCCUACGGGACGCAACAGUGGAGAGUCUUGCGCAGUGGGCCGGCGUCUGAUACAACAGCGCCGCGUGCGUGAAGACCGCUUUCGGGUGAUGAACCGCUUUCGACUGUGACGAGGCGUGCGUGACGGUAAUGAAUAAAAAAGCAACGGCUAACUACGUG
RNAcentral lists this ribosomal RNA (468 nucleotides) under uncultured bacterium. RNAcentral describes it as "partial 16S ribosomal RNA". It matches the Rfam family "Bacterial small subunit ribosomal RNA", at positions 28 to 507 of the family's 1533-position model. The record is from RNAcentral.